GAAUCAUAAUGGCCGAAAAUCUAAGGUUUCUUGGGGAAGGUUCGUCCGCCCAAGGUAAGCCGGGAGCUAAGGCGAGGCCGCGAGGCGUAGUCGAUGCACAUACGGUAGAAAUUCCGUAGCCACCGAACUUUAAACCAGAAGGACACUUGCAGAUAGCGGAACCCAGCCGUUGGUUGAGCUGGGCGCAAGGGACUGAAAUAUAGUAGGGAAGUCCGCGAUGCUGUGAGGCGAGAAAAGCUCUGGUGAAUACUAAGGUGCCCGUACCGCAAACCGACACAGGUAGAUGAGGAGAGAAUCCUAAGGCCAACGGGAGAAGGGUUGUUAAGGAACUCGGCAAAUUGACCCCGUAACUUCGGAAGAAGGGGAGCCUCGAAAGAGGCCGCAGUGAAUAGGCCCAAGCAACUGUUUACCAAAAACACAGGUCUAUGCUAAAUCGAAAGAUGACGUAUAUGGGCUGACGCCUGCCCGGUGCCGGAAGGUUAAGAGGAGAGCUUAGCGCAAGCGAAGGUUUGAAUUGAAGCCCCGGUAAACGGCGGCCGUAACUAUAACGGUCCUAAGGUAGCGAAAUUCCUUGUCAGGUAAGUUCUGACCCGCACGAAUGGCGUAAUGAUUUGGGCACUGUCUCGACAGCCCGCCCGGCGAAAUUGUAGUACUGGUGAAGAUGCCAGUUACCCGCAACUAGACGGAAAGACCCCAUGGAGCUUUACUGCAGUUUAAUACUGGGAAUCGGUAAUUCAUGUACAGGAUAGGUGGGAGACUGAGAAGCACGGCCGUCAGGUCGUGUGGAGUCACCGGUGGGAUACCACUCUUGGAUUGCUGGUUUCCUAACCUGCGGCCCUGAAUCGGGUCGGGGGACACUGUUAGACGGGCAGUUUGACUGGGGCGGUCGCCUCCAAAAGAGUAACGGAGGCGCUCAAAGGUUCGUUCAGCACGGACGGAAAUCGUGCAUUGAGUGUAAACGCAUAAACGAGCCUAACUGCGAGACCGACGGGUCGAGCAGUAACGAAAGUUGGAGUUAGUGAUCCGGUGGUAUGUGAGUGGAAAUGCCAUCGCUCAACGGAUAAAAGCUACCCUGGGGAUAACAGGCUGAUCUCCCCCAAGCGUCCACAGCGACGGGGAGGUUUGGCACCUCGAUGUCGGCUCGUCGCAUCCUGGGGCUGUAUUCGGUCCCAAGGGUUUGGCUGUUCGCCAAUUAAAGCGGCACGCGAGCUGGGUUCAGAACGUCGUGAGACAGUUCGGUCCCUAUCUGUUGCGGGCGUAAGAGAUUUGAAGGGAGCUGUCCUUAGUACGAGAGGACCGGGAUGGACGUACCUCUGGUGCACCAGUUGUCCUGCCAAGGGCAUAGCUGGGUAGCUAUGUACGGACGAGAUAAACGCUGAAAGCAUCUAAGCGUGAAACUC
This 1400-nucleotide ribosomal RNA is filed under the name human gut metagenome. Its description in RNAcentral is "bacterial LSU rRNA". It matches the Rfam family "Bacterial large subunit ribosomal RNA", at positions 1325 to 2795 of the family's 2925-position model. The record is from RNAcentral.